Molecule: transfer RNA, 73 nt
Filed under: Theobroma cacao (cacao)
Lineage: Eukaryota; Viridiplantae; Streptophyta; Magnoliopsida; Malvales; Malvaceae
Rfam family: tRNA
About the family: Transfer RNA (tRNA) molecules are approximately 80 nucleotides in length. Their secondary structure includes four short double-helical elements and three loops (D, anti-codon, and T loops).
Source: Rfam by way of RNAcentral
AUCCGCUUAGCUCAGAAGUCAGAGCAUCGCAAUCUAAUUGCGAUAGUCAUCGGUUCGACUCCGAUAGCGGCUG